Molecule: long non-coding RNA, 3045 nt
Organism: Oncorhynchus tshawytscha (Chinook salmon)
Lineage: Eukaryota; Metazoa; Chordata; Actinopteri; Salmoniformes; Salmonidae
Source: Ensembl
GUGGAUACAUUUUUUUGAAAGGCAUGAUUGACGCUUGUGAAUGGCAGGCGAAAAACGAGUCCAGCAAGUUAGAAAAAAUUCCAAGUCUAGUUUUCCGUCAUCGUACAAAACCCCCUCUGCCCAGGAGUUGCUCAUCUUUAGUUCUCAGAAAGAGAGGAGUUAUUUGUACAUACUUUCUCAUCUGAGUAGUCUACAGGUCCUAGCAGACACAACGUCUCUGAUAUUCUCAGAGACCUAAAAGGACAUGGAUAUGAAGCCUCUGAUGAUUCUCCUCCUGCUAGCAGCUGUCACCACCACCGCCCCUGCAGCAGCUCAAACCACCACCGCCCCUGCAGCAGCUGUCACCACCACCACUCCCGCAGCAGCUGCCACUACCACCACUCCUGCAGCAGCUGGUACCACCACCACUCCUGCAGCAGCUGGUACCACCACAGCUUCGGCAGCAACCACUUCCGCUGCUGUCAUAUCAACUGACCCUCCAUCUUCUAGUGAAGGAACAAUGAGUCUUCAGUUCCGUCUCAACCAGACGUUCAACUCAGAUCUUUCCAACCCUUCCUCUUCAGGGUUCAAGACUCUGGCUGCCAAAGUGAUCUCUGAGGUGAACAAGGCUUUUGCUAAGACCCCAGGCUUCCGUCGUUCCAUUGUCAACUCAUUCAGGAGUGGAUCUGUGGUUACCGACAUUACCCUCGUGUUCGACAAUCAGUCUUCGGUUCCCAGCUCAAGCAACUCACAGGCAAUUCUCACCAGCAGUUCCACCUCCCUGAACAUUAUACCAGGCAGCAUCAGUGAUGGGUCAUCAACCAGCUCAGGAAGUGCUCCCCGACCCACUUCUUUCUCUCUGGCUGCCUUGCCUCUCAGUUUGGCUCUGUUAAUGGUACAGCUGCUGGCUAGCUAAUAGCCUGGGACAUAGCUGCUGUGGCUCUGCUAGCUACUAGGCUAGCUAAUAGCCUGGGGCAUAGCUGCUGUGGCUCUGCUAGCUGCUGGCUAACCAAUAGCCUGGGGCAUAGCUGCUGUGGCAUUGGUUUAACCAAUCAACAGUUUCCCAGCUCUCAUAGAUACAGCCUUAAAGCUAGAAUCCUUAGUUGCUACACCCAUUUUUUUACUUAUAAAUUCAUUAUAUCUACCCAUUGAUUCUAGAAGAAUAUAACAUAUGAAUACCUCAUGAGUUUAGAUCAACUGUCGUACCCCAUCAGAACCCACAAUAUGAGCUUGUUUUACCCCGAUGUUUCUAAACAAUGCAAACAAACACUGUACAGCUUUAAAACAUGAUUAAAACUAUAAUUCUGAUAUCAUGGAUGGUCAGUCCUGGCAUCCAUAGCUCUGUCUAUUUUAUUUUACGUGUCAAGUCAGUUAAGAACAAAUUCUUAUUUAAAAUGACGGCCUAGGAACAGUGGGUUAACUGCCUUGUAGCGGGGCAGAAUGGCAGAUUUUUGCUCGGGGAUUCGAUCUUGCCUUUUCGGUUACUAGUCCAAGACUCAUUAGAGCUGUCAAUUUUGCAUGAGGCGGCAGCCUAGUGGUUAGAGUGUAGAGGUGGCAGGUAGCCUAGUGGUUAGAGUGUAGAGGUGGCAGGUAGCCUAGUGGUUAGAGUGUAGAGGAGGUAUAACCGAUAGGUUGCUAGAUCAAAUCUUCUGAGCUGACAAGAUAAACAUCUGUCAUUCUUCCCCUGAACCAAGGCAGUUAACCUGCUGUCAUUGGAAAAAAAUAUUUUGUUCUUAAAUAAAGAGCUGUCAAAGAUACAGAAAUCCCAUGUAGCAUUGUUCGAACACUGGAAUGUGAGAUGUAAUCUACACCUCGAUUAGGUUAUAAUGAUUUUUCCAAAUUGAGCGUCAAUAUUUUCAAAAUAACCUACACACUUCCUCGUUCUGAACUUGAAAGAGAAAAAGAGAGGGAAGGAGAAUUGACAGCUGAUUAAAACCUCUUAAGGAUAGGCGGGAUGCAAAUGUCUCAACUGGUCAAUUGCCAGGGGAAAUGCAGAGCGCCAGAUUCAAAUAAAAUGCUAUAGAAUUCAAACUUUCGUUAAAUCACACAUGUAAGAUACUCAAUUAAAGCUACACUCGUUAUGAAUCCAGCCAACAUGUCAGAUUUUUAAAAAAUGCUUUUCGGCGAAAGCAUAAGAAGCUAUUAUCUGAUAGCCUUCACCGUCUACACCAGCAGUGAACAAAGGAGCUAGCAUAUUACAACACAAAAGUGUCCCCAGUUCCGAGUUGGCCUACUUCUUCAUUGCACAAAGGAAUAACCUCAAACAAAUUCCAAAGACUGGCAACAGUCGGUAGGAACUGUAAAUAGGUUCCUAUGAAAUAUCCCAUGGCAGAGACAAUAUAGGGAACAGAGGGGGGGGGGAAUUCUGAACAGUUAGUCCUCUGGGUUUUGCCUGCUACAUAAGUUCUGUUAUACUCACAGACAUGAUUCAAACAGUUUUAGAAACUUCAGAGUGUUCUCUAUCCAAAUCUAUGAAUAAUAUGCAUAUCUUAUAUUCUUGGCAUGAGUAGCGGGAAGUUGAAAUUGGGCACACUAUUUAUCCAAAAGUGAAAAUUCUGCCCCCUAGCUUUAAGAGGUUUUAAGAUCAGUUACACCUCCAACACGUUAUUUAUUUAACCAGGCUAGUUGAGAACAAGUUGCCAAACAAUAGCUGUCGUCAGUCACUGGUAAACAGCUGAUUUGAUGGAAGCUAGGCCCUUAUCUUUCACGUUACUAUUAUUUAAAAUUUAACCUCUCACAUACAUCAAUUCAUGAUGACUUGCACACAGUUUAUCCGUCAAAUUUUUAUACUGAAAAUAACUAAAAGAAACAAAAACUUACAAAUUGUACAAUUUAUUUAUUUUUUAAAUAUUUUUAUUUGAUCAUAGUUCCCUCUUUAAUUAUUAACUGCUGUAACUAUAUUUACAUUUAAAUGUGUUAUUUUGGGCACAUCACUGAAGUGUCAAAGUGACUGAGGGACUAACGGGGACCACUUCAAUGUUUUAAAACUGUUGUAGAGCCUCGGCUGGUUUGUACUUGUCUUGUUAUUAUUAAAUCUAAUAUAUUAUGUACCACUCGUAGAAUAUA